UGGGGAAUAUUGCACAAUGGGCGCAAGCCUGAUGCAGCCAUGCCGCGUGUGUGAAGAAGGCCUUCGGGUUGUAAAGCACUUUCAGCGGGGAGGAAGGCGGUGAGGUUAAUAACCUCAUCGAUUGACGUUACCCGCAGAAGAAGCACCGGCUAACUCCGUGCCAGCAGCCGCGGUAAUACGGAGGGUGCAAGCGUUAAUCGGAAUUACUGGGCGUAAAGCGCACGCAGGCGGUCUGUCAAGUCGGAUGUGAAAUCCCCGGGCUCAACCUGGGAACUGCAUUCGAAACUGGCAGGCUAGAGUCAUGUAGAGGGGGGUAGAAUUCCAGGUGUAGCGGUGAAAUGCGUAGAGAUCUGGAGGAAUACCGGUGGCGAAGGCGGCCCCCUGGACAAAGACUGACGCUCAGGUGCGAAAGCGUGGGGAGCAAACAGG
Molecule: ribosomal RNA, 429 nt
Filed under: Chloroflexota bacterium
Lineage: Bacteria; Bacillati; Chloroflexota
Description: Chloroflexi bacterium partial 16S ribosomal RNA
Rfam family: Bacterial small subunit ribosomal RNA
Source: RNAcentral